Molecule: ribosomal RNA, 363 nt
Filed under: Triticum aestivum (bread wheat)
Lineage: Eukaryota; Viridiplantae; Streptophyta; Magnoliopsida; Poales; Poaceae
Description: partial small subunit ribosomal RNA
Source: RNAcentral
AUGAAGUUGUUCCAUGAAUUCUACAUUGAGACUCUGGACUUGGCCCGUCUGAACUUUGGAGUCAUCACCUUGAUCCCCAAAGUAGUUGGGGCGACGGAUAUCUGACAGUUUAGGCCUAUCACGGUUAUUAAUGUUCUUGAGACGAUUUUUGCGAAGGUCUGUGCCUUGCGUCUUGCACAUAUUGCGAAGUAUAUCGCACACCCCUUCCAAUUUCCGUUUCUGAAGGGUCGACGCAUCCAUGAUGGGAUCUUGGCCCUUCAUGAGAUUGUCCACGAGGUUAGCAGGCGCCGGACGAAGGGCAUCUUUUUGAAGCUGGACAUCUAGAAGGCAUACGACCGCCUUGAUUGGUCCUUCUUGUGCUAG